GUGAGUUGGCAAAAGAAAGCCAUGAGUAUCUUAGAGCGGUGGGCUUAGGAACAUGGUGGAAAGCCUAGACUUCUUUUGGUCUCUAAAUUUAGAAGCCAAGGUAUGUUCUUUUGUUUUCGUGAUGCCUCCCAUGCCUAUUGUUCUUAGGUAUUCCUUCCUUUUCCUAUCAGCU
Molecule: microRNA precursor, 172 nt
Filed under: Triticum aestivum (bread wheat)
Lineage: Eukaryota; Viridiplantae; Streptophyta; Magnoliopsida; Poales; Poaceae
Description: MIR2118 microRNA precursor family
Rfam family: MIR2118 microRNA precursor family
Source: Rfam by way of RNAcentral